This is a long non-coding RNA of Ahaetulla prasina, 1865 nucleotides long. RefSeq lists it as uncharacterized. Lineage: Eukaryota; Metazoa; Chordata; Lepidosauria; Squamata; Colubridae. The record is from RefSeq and is a predicted model, not a curated record. The transcript has 3 exons.
AUUGGAAACUGACACUUCCACAUAAGCUUCCCCCCUUAAAGGAACCUAUAGUGUUGACAGCUCUUCCUCUGACUGGAUAUCUUGAGCAGGGUGUGGCUACAGCUUUAAUAAAAGCAAUGAAUGCAGUUGGUUGCUUAAAGCCAAAAUUUCCAUUCCUGAGUGUGAAAAGGACCGCUUUGCUAUUCAUAGCCUAUCAUUUAAAAGCAUAUAACCCUAACAGCCCAGACUAUAUACGAAAGAAGUAUAAAAUGAAGUUGGAACGGUUCAUAGACCAUUGUGAACUUAUCCCAUACCUAGGCAUCAAAAUGACAAAGAAGUACAAGGAGCCUCAAAAUCGACCUAUUGAUUUUGAUCACAAGUUACAGACUUUCUUGUCUCUCAAAGAUGUGGACCCAACUUCCUAUUAGUGUGAAAUAUUGCAAAAAUACUGGAAAGUGAUAUUUUCAUAUUUGACUGUUAAAUUAAACAUAUAUGGUUGUUUAUGUGGUUGGGGUUUUUAGAACCUGCCUAACUACAGAACAGAUCAGGCUAAGCUCAUGUCACUGGCUUGUUGGAAGUCUAAAUAAGGCCGUACCGUAGUUUCCUAUAGUUUGCAAAAGGCACUUUGUAAAACUGAUAGUGUACAAACAUAUUUGUAAAUUGCCCUAUACUUCUAAUUUUGCAAGGAACUUAGUAAAGAUUGUUUUUAGUAAGUCUACUUCUCAGAAAAUGUGUUUAUAAUUGUGGGUAUAUUAAUAGUCUUCAGUGGUUAAGGAUAGAACUUCAACUGCUGUAAGCUAUUUGUUAAAUCAUUAUUGUUUGACAUUACUGUACUUAAAUAUUUAGUGUGUUGAUUUAAAUAUAAAGAUCUGGGAUAAUUUGAGAUACUAUGAGAUAUUUCAUAAAUUUGAGAUAAUAUCUUGGCUUUCAGUUGUUACUGUAGUGGUUUAAAUUUGUUACUUUUGUUAACUAGUGAAAUAUUAACUUCUAUAUGUAGUUAUCUGAAAGAAUCCACAUUCAGGUCAUUGCUAUUGUUUCUUCCACACCCAGUCCUAAAUAAAUAUGAGUAAUUGCUUCUUUUUACACUUUUGAAUAAUUUGAGAGUAAUCUCAUUCUACUGUGUAAGUCCUUUCAGCAACUCUGUAAUACUAAGCGCAAUUGAGCAAUACAGUCAGUUGUAUAUUUUUGCCCUAUUUACCCUUCCUAGAAUGGAAAACUGAAAAAAUUCUAAAUGAAUAUUUAUUAUAAACAAUGCCUUUAAAAACAGUGGUUUUUCAAAUGGCUUUCUUAAUACUGUGUUUUCCUCACUUCAGUGGCUAAUCAGAUUAGCAGUUGGUAUAGACUUGUCUUCAAUGAGAUUGGUGAAUAAGGUCUGUACCAUUUUGGCAAGCAGAGGCUCAUAUAGUUGAAUGGUCUUCAAUUCAAAAAUAAAUCUUCCAUAGGAAAAACCAGACGGCAUGAAGAAAACAUUAUCAGAUAUUUCCAUUUGAAUCCUGAAUAUUAGCAAUUAUUUGACUUCCCCUCCAAUCUGAAAUAGUAAGGUCAACACAGACAUAGAGCUCUAUUAAUCAGUACUAAUCAGAUUUAGGGGUCAGUCAACUGAAUAAACCAUUAUGACUGUGUUGUAGUUCGUUUAAUCAUAGUCUACUCAAUAAAAUCAGUAUCAAUAAAGGAGAAUAUUUGUAGCUCACAGUUGAAAUGAAGGUUCCUCAGAGCUUGGUUGUUUUCUUGCAGAUGUUUCAUUACCCAAACUAGGCAACAUCCUCAGUGCUAGUGGCACUGAUAAAGUUACCUAGCUUGGAUAAUGAAACGUCUGUAAAAAAACAACCAAGCUCAGAGAGCACCAAGGACCCUUCAAUUAGAUCAGUUUAUGUGUUUGUCCAAUA